GCCGGGCGUGGUGGCGCACGCCUGUAAUCCCAGCUACUCAGGAGGCUGAGGCAGUAGAAUCACUUGAAUCUGGGAGGUGAAGGUUGCAGUGAGCCAAGAUCGUGCCACUGCACUCCAGCCUAGGUGUCAGAGUGAGACUCUGUCUCAA
Macaca fascicularis (crab-eating macaque) is the source of this 148-nucleotide unclassified non-coding RNA. It matches the Rfam family "Metazoan signal recognition particle RNA". Rfam says of the family: The signal recognition particle (SRP) is a universally conserved ribonucleoprotein. It is involved in the co-translational targeting of proteins to membranes. The eukaryotic SRP consists of a 300-nucleotide 7S RNA and six proteins: SRPs 72, 68, 54, 19, 14, and 9. Lineage: Eukaryota; Metazoa; Chordata; Mammalia; Primates; Cercopithecidae. The record is from Ensembl.